RNAcentral lists this long non-coding RNA (2402 nucleotides) under Homo sapiens (human). Its description in RNAcentral is "HSALNT0273420". The record is from RNAcentral. Lineage: Eukaryota; Metazoa; Chordata; Mammalia; Primates; Hominidae.
GCUGAGUAACAGCACUGUGUGCCUCUCUGGGCUAAUCUCUGUCAUCUCAACACACUGUUUUCCCUCUAGGGAGGGUUGGCAUGUUCCAGUUCCAGCAGCCGGUGUGCCGGGCGAUGUUCAGCAGAGCCAGAGAGCAGGAACAGCAGGGGCACAUACCGAAAUAUUUGCAGAUGAGGAUGAUGUGAUUCUGGUGGGCAGCCAAUGAGUGGGGAUACAGAGGAAGCAAGUUUGACCCUGAAUUGAUAAUCACUGGAGCAGAAUGACGGGGACACAGAGGUUAGUGAUACUACUGGGUCUGUUUUUGUGUAAGUCUGAUAGGUUCCAUCAAAAGAAGUGUAAAAUAACCAAAAGGCUUAACGGGGACUCAUCCUUGCCAGCACAUUUGCCGAGGAGUGGGCAAGUGCUGCCUGUCGCAGUUGUAUAAUCGCUGGGGGUAAAUGUGGAAGUUCGUCAAUCAGCAAGGCCGUAGUGGGGGCUGACUGGCAGCAAGCCCAGCGCUGCGUGGCUGUCAUCUUGCCUCGAGGCCCAUUUGCCCUCUAUAAAUAACAGUCUAUAUGAAUGCUUUACUAUUUUAACACACAUGGGCCACAGCUGCUGAGCACGUUUGUUUACGUAGCUAUGAAACCUUCUGUAAACACCACUAUCUCAAAAUCGCCCAUGUGUCAGGAACAUAAACGGCCCCCUUUAAAAAUAUAUCUGCAGAUGAGACACAGCCAACUCCUAGAUGUCUGAGUGGCUGGUGUCAGAAUUUUCCAGGGUUUGAUUCAUUUUCAAAAAUAGAACCACAUGACUGGAAGGUUCUUGAAAGGUCGCCUGGCAUGUCCCUCCUGACUUCAGGCGGGACCAGGCCAAAGCCAUUCACAAAGGACUCGGGGCUGUUCUGCGUGGGCAUGGGUCUGUCUUUUGUGCAGUCCCUUCAAGGCCAUGAAAGGGGGGCUCGCUUCCAGCCUUCAAGGAGCCCACUUUCGUUUUCUAAAAAUGGAACCUGACCCUGCAAUGCGGCUGGCAUUGGAAGGCAGUGCAUCCACAGAGCACCACUCGCCUGCACCGGGCCUGAGCUCCCAGCAGACGGAAGGACCCAGGUGGCCUCCUGUGGGACAACUCCGGUCUCCGGAAAACACCACGCUGGGAUCAUCCUGUGCCCAGGAUGCCUGCUUCCUAACAGGGAAGAGGGCACCGCGUGAAGGUGGCCAUGUGGGCCUUCCCUCCUCCCUGGAAGAGGCCUGCUCGUGGAGACCACUGAGCACAGCAGGUUAAGGUCAACUGCGACAUUGUUGAAAGAAGUGAUGAGCGCAGGGGAAGCUGUUUUGUGUCAGCUUGCUAUUAUCACGGCUCCUGAUUUCCAGUCCAGCACUACAAUGAAUAAUUAGAUCCCUGUGAAUUUGUUUUCCUCGAGUGUGCAUUUGGUCCACAUUUUUUUUUCCUGUGGUUUUGAGAGAUUGAAGCAUUUUUCUCCCCUAAGGGCCUGUUUAAUGCCCAUAAAUCCUAAUUGAGCUUUUCAUUCACAAAGAAACAGUAUCCUGCUGAAGCGUAAGAGAGCAGCUGUGCUGGGGGUACUGAGUUGUAUGAUUCCCCUGAGGAAAAGACCAAGACACUUCCAGUUUCCAGACACCUCCAGAACUUUCUAGAACCCCCCCCCCAAGUCUAGAAAUUAGAAGACUAUUUUUUAAAAGAAAAUGAGUAGCAGUUGCCUUUUCCCAGGGAUGGGGUGAGCGUUUGGAUUGAUUUUGCUGGUAAUUACUCAGAUUUCUCUAUGAAAGCUGUAGAAAGGCCAUAGGGUGCUCAGAGGCAAGUAUCACUGUUAAUUACCAAGAAAACCAUAUUCCUCCCUUUGGAAAGGCUCACUCAUUACCAGCUGUCAUCAGAAAGCCAGGGCCUGCCCCAGGGAGAAUUCUGACUCAGGGACAUCACAAAGAUAAUUUGCUUAUUCCAGAUUCAUUUAUUUUACAGAGAUUGGGCUCUGGUUUGAGGGAACACAAAGCUUAACUCCCACAAUUUAAAGCUCAGACUAGCAUCAGUAACCAGAGGGUACGUCUCCAGUGGUUUUUGCUUCUUGAGCUUGGAGACACUGCCCUCUCUCAUGUCCUCUUGGGGGAAUUUAUGGUGAAAAGGGAAAAGAAAAACUGCAUCCUGAGUGGUCAGUUCAUAGUGUCAGAGGCUGUAGCUCUGUGGCCGCUAGGGGGAUCCAGAGUCCCUGUGCUCAGCUGAGGUUGGGGAAGUUUCUGGUCUGUAGGAAAGUGACAGCUCCCUGUUUGAAUUAUUUCUCUUUCCUCCCUCCUCCCCAGCCUCCCCUCCUCCUCUCUCCCUCCUCCCUUUCUCUUCCCUCCCUCCUCCCCUUCUCCUCCUCUCCUUCCUCCCUUUCUCUUCCCUCCCUCCUCCUCCCUCCCUCCUCCCCUUCUCCU